AUGGAAUCUGAUUUGGAGUACAUAUACAAGAACUAUGUUGAGUCGUCUGACGGCUCGUCCGACGAGGAGAACUACACAAAUGAGACGGCGAUGAUGCAGGCGGUCUUGAAGACGUGGGGCGUGCAGAGGAGCAUGUUAGAGAAGCUUCGUCUUUCAUCUAUCAUUGAUGAUUUAGAAGCUUUGGCGGAGAUAGCUAGGCUGUUGCGUGGAGAGGAACUCAUAUGGUACCAACUUUCUAACCCCCAAUUUAUCCUGAAAGGCGAUUCGAAUAAUAGAUAUUUCCAUGACGCGGAGGAGCUUGUGCAGGGAGUACAACAAAAUAAGUUGCUUGGGUUUAAGGACAACAAACUGAAUAUUCAGUUGCAAGAUCAGACACUAAAAUCUUAUUCUAACCAGCUGCAAGUUUUAGCAACAGCAUCAGGUUGUAAGUUUAUCAACUCAUCAUUUGAUAACCCUAGUCCUCGUUGA
Molecule: ribosomal RNA, 468 nt
Filed under: Triticum aestivum (bread wheat)
Lineage: Eukaryota; Viridiplantae; Streptophyta; Magnoliopsida; Poales; Poaceae
Description: partial small subunit ribosomal RNA
Source: RNAcentral